Gossypium arboreum is the source of this 946-nucleotide long non-coding RNA. RefSeq lists it as uncharacterized. The record is from RefSeq and is a predicted model, not a curated record. NCBI's taxonomy places the organism in Eukaryota, Viridiplantae, Streptophyta, Magnoliopsida, Malvales, Malvaceae. The transcript has 2 exons.
CCUUUUUCUUUAAGACACAUGGCACACACGCACUAGCCUAUUCUCUUCUUCUUAUUUUUUCCUUCAUUUUAUGAAAAAUAGUUUCAAUUUUGCUGCGCGAAAUCCGACACACGCCCACUCAGGUACGAACCAGUCCCAGUCCGCAAACCCUCCUUUGCCAACAGAUUAGCCACAAUGUAGCCUUUACGAGGUACAUGCCGAAACUCACAUCGCCGAAACAGCCCCGCCCACCAUUUAAUAUCUUGAAUAUUGGCGCCGAGGAUAGAGGAAUCAAACAGAGGGGAUUGGCCUUUAUGAAUCACCGUGAGGGCAUCCCCUUCAACAAUAACAUCCGGAAAUCCGAGAGCCUGGCCUAGAUGUACCGCCUGAAGGCAUGCAAGGGCCUCCCCAGCAAAGGCCGAAGGAUCUCCUGGAUGGAGCAUGAAACGGCGCGUCAAAAUUGAUUUUCAGACAACAGCCAUCCGGAGGCCUCCAGCUCUCAACCUCAAUCAGACGCCCCGGCAGCUUCAAUCGAACCACAUCUACUUCCAAUAAGUAGGCCUCAACCGUCUGAAAGUAAUACAUGCGUUUGAAUAAUUUCAUUUUCGUGGACACGACGAUUCCGUGCAUACCAAAUAAACCAGAAAGCACACACAACUUUCCUGUUUCCUGAGAAUGGUGCAAGGGUGAACCUGGGAGAUGUAAUAUAGCCAGUCCUGUAAACAUGUACCUGAGAUCUCACUAGGCCAGGUGAUUUGUAGGUCAACCCAGAUACCAGCCACAGAGGAACAAUCACAGAAGAUGUGUUCAAGGGUUUCAGUUGCAGCCAAGCACCGAGGCAACGCGCAUCAGAUCGCAGCCGUCUGUUGUAGAGAUUAGAGAAACUAGUGAUAAAAUUGUUAAAGAUUCUCCAAGUUGUAAUUUGUAUCUUUGCCAUUAAAUGUAAUGUCCAUAAUCUUUUAUAAAA